This 70-nucleotide transfer RNA is filed under the name Marmota monax (woodchuck). RNAcentral's name for it is "tRNA.Ala". The record is from RNAcentral. Lineage: Eukaryota; Metazoa; Chordata; Mammalia; Rodentia; Sciuridae.
GGGCUGGGGCUCGGUGGUAGAGUGCUCACCUAGCACGUGUGAGGCCCUGGGUUCAAUUCUCAGCACCACA